This 78-nucleotide ribosomal RNA is filed under the name Aeromonas caviae. RNAcentral's name for it is "partial 23S ribosomal RNA". It matches the Rfam family "Bacterial large subunit ribosomal RNA", at positions 2848 to 2925 of the family's 2925-position model. The record is from RNAcentral. Lineage: Bacteria; Pseudomonadati; Pseudomonadota; Gammaproteobacteria; Aeromonadales; Aeromonadaceae.
CAACGUUGAUAGGUGGGGUGUGUAAGCGUAGCGAUACGUUGAGCUAACCCAUACUAAUUACCCGUGAGGCUUAACCAU